This 422-nucleotide ribosomal RNA is filed under the name uncultured Anaerostipes sp. RNAcentral's name for it is "bacterial SSU rRNA". It matches the Rfam family "Bacterial small subunit ribosomal RNA", at positions 355 to 794 of the family's 1533-position model. The record is from RNAcentral. Lineage: Bacteria; Bacillati; Bacillota; Clostridia; Lachnospirales; Lachnospiraceae.
CUAAGAAUAUUGCACAAUGGGGGAAACCCUGAUGCAGCGACGCCGCGUGAGCGAAGAAGUAUUUCGGUAUGUAAAGCUCUAUCAGCAGGGAAGAAAAUGACGGUACCUGACUAAGAAGCCCCGGCUAACUACGUGCCAGCAGCCGCGGUAAUACGUAGGGGGCGAGCGUUGUCCGGAAUUACUGGGCGUAAAGGGUGCGUAGGCGGUUUGGUAAGUUGGAUGUGAAAUACCCGGGCUUAACUUGGGGGCUGCAUCCAAUACUGUCGGACUUGAGUGCAGGAGAGGAAAGCGGAAUUCCUAGUGUAGCGGUGAAAUGCGUAGAUAUUAGGAGGAACACCGGUGGCGAAGGCGGCUUUCUGGACUGUAACUGACGCUGAGGCACGAAAGCGUGGGGAGCAAACAGGAUUAGAUACCCUGGUAGU